RNAcentral lists this small RNA (98 nucleotides) under Thalassomonas actiniarum. Lineage: Bacteria; Pseudomonadati; Pseudomonadota; Gammaproteobacteria; Alteromonadales; Colwelliaceae. The record is from RNAcentral.
UUAAUAUCUUUUGUUGAUACAAGUUUAUUAGCGCAAGGCUCAACCCCAUUGAGCCAUUACCCUGAGCCCGAAACUGAUAUGGUUUCGGGCCAUUUUUU